AACGCGAAGAACCUUACCCAGGCUUGACAUCCUACUAAGGUUUCCGAAAGGAAACUGUGCCUUCGGGCCGUAGAGACAGGUGUUGCAUGGCCGUCGUCAGCUCGUGUCGUGAGAUGUUUGGUUAAGUCCAUCAACGAGCGCAACCCUUAUAGUUAGUUGUAUUUCUCUAGCUAGACUGCCCUGGUAACAGGGAGGAAGGAGGGGAUGAUGUCAGGUCAGUAUUACCCUUACGUCUGGGGCUACAAACACGCUACAAUGGCCGGUACAAAGGGCAGCCAAGUCGCGAGACGGAGCAAAUCCCAUCAAAGCCGGUCUCAGUUCGGAUUGCAGGCUGAAACUCGCCUGCAUGAAGCCGGAAUCGCUAGUAACGGUAGGUCAGCUAUACUACCGUGAAUACGUUCCCGGGCCUUGUACACACCGCGCAUA
RNAcentral lists this ribosomal RNA (426 nucleotides) under uncultured bacterium. Its description in RNAcentral is "bacterial SSU rRNA". It matches the Rfam family "Bacterial small subunit ribosomal RNA", at positions 958 to 1398 of the family's 1533-position model. The record is from RNAcentral.